RNAcentral lists this ribosomal RNA (400 nucleotides) under phytoplankton environmental sample. Its description in RNAcentral is "partial small subunit ribosomal RNA". It matches the Rfam family "Eukaryotic small subunit ribosomal RNA", at positions 587 to 989 of the family's 1831-position model. The record is from RNAcentral.
AGCUCCAAUAGCGUAUAUUAAAGUUGUUGUGGUUAAAAAGCUCGUAGUUGGAUCUCGGCAGGCUUGGGGCGGUUUGCUUGCUAGUAUUACUGCCCUAUAGUCUGUAGUUUUGCCAGAGGUUUUAGGGUGCUCUUAAUCGAGUGUCCUGGGAUGCUGGCAGGUUUACUUUGAAAAAAUUAGAGUGCUCAAAGCAGGCUUUUACGCCUGAAUAUUCGUGCAUGGAAUAAUAGAAUAGGAAGUCGUUUCUAUUUUGUUGGUUUUCGGAAAUCGACUUAAUGAUUAAUAGGGACAGUCGGGGGCAUUUGUAUUCAAACGACAGAGGUGAAAUUCUUGGACCGUUUGAAGACAAACUACUGCGAAAGCAUUUGCCAAGAAUGUUUUCAUUAAUCAAGAACGAAAG